This 550-nucleotide ribosomal RNA is filed under the name uncultured archaeon. RNAcentral's name for it is "bacterial SSU rRNA". It matches the Rfam family "Archaeal small subunit ribosomal RNA", at positions 326 to 879 of the family's 1478-position model. The record is from RNAcentral.
CGGGGUGCGCAGGCGCGAAAACUCCACAAUGUACGGAAGUACGAUGGGGUUAUCUCGAGUGCAGUCCGCUAAGGGCUGCUUUUCCAUAGAGUAAUAUCCUGUGGGAAUAAGAGGGGGGCAAGACUGGUGUCAGCCGCCGCGGUAGCACCAGCCCCUCGAGUGGUGGGGACUAUUAUUUGGCCUAAAGCGUCCGUAGCUGGCUGUAUCCGUCCCCCGUUAAAUCCAGCGUCCUAAGCGUUGGACCGCGGGUGAUACCAUACAGCUAGAGGGUGGGAUAGGUGAGCGGUAUUUCUGGGGUAGGGGCGAAAUCCUUUGAUCCCAGGAGGACCACCAGUGGCGAAGGCUGCUCACUAGAACACGCCUGACGGUCAGGGACGAAAGCUGGGGCAGCGAACCGGAUUAGAUACCCGGGUAGUCCCAGCUGUAAACGAUGCUAGCUAGGUGUUGGGUCGGCCACGCGCCGCCCCAGUGCCGCAGGGAAGCCGUUAAGCUAGCCGCCUGGGGAGUACGGCCGCAAGGCUGAAACUUAAAGGAAUUGGCGGGGGAGCAC